Molecule: ribosomal RNA, 200 nt
Filed under: uncultured bacterium
Lineage: Bacteria
Description: partial 16S ribosomal RNA
Rfam family: Bacterial small subunit ribosomal RNA
Source: RNAcentral
GAUGAACGCUAGCGGCAGGCCUAAUACAUGCAAGUCGAGGGGCAGCGCGGUAGCAAUACUGGCGGCGACCGGCGCACGGGUGCGUAACGCGUAUGUAACCUACCCAUUACUGGGGGAUAGCCCGGAGAAAUUCGGAUUAAUACCCCAUGGUAUCGAGGCCAGGCAUUUGGUUUUGAUUAAAGAUUUAUCGGUAAUGAAUG